Ornithodoros turicata is the source of this 213-nucleotide long non-coding RNA. RefSeq lists it as uncharacterized. Lineage: Eukaryota; Metazoa; Arthropoda; Arachnida; Ixodida; Argasidae. The transcript has 3 exons. The record is from RefSeq and is a predicted model, not a curated record.
CGCCGUGAAAUGCUUGCCUAUCACAAAUGCAAGCGACUCAUACGUCGUUCAGGUACAAUACCUGCACGAGUCCAUUGAUCCCAGUUCCAUGUGCCUGGACGGUGGUGGAUUCUUUCGCAUCAAUAUGCCGAUGCUGGUUUCUAUUGCCGGGUCCACCAUAACGUACACGGUUAUCCUGGUACAGACCAGUGAGGAAGAAAAAAACGCUAUCGC